AGCAGCCGCCACGGUAAUACGGAGGGUGCAAGCGUUAAUCGGAAUUACUGGGCGUAAAGCGCACGCAGGCGGUUUGUUAAGUCAGAUGUGAAAUCCCCAAGCUUAACUUGGGAACUGCAUUUGAAACUGGCAAGCUAGAGUCUUGUAGAGGGGGGUAGAAUUCCAGGUGUAGCGGUGAAAUGCGUAGAGAUCUGGAGGAAUACCGGUGGCGAAGGCGGCCCCCUGGACAAAGACUGACGCUCAGGUGCGAAAGCGUGGGGAGCAAACAGGAUUAGAUACCCGCGUAGUCCCUGUCUCUUAUAC
RNAcentral lists this ribosomal RNA (303 nucleotides) under uncultured bacterium. RNAcentral's name for it is "partial 16S ribosomal RNA". It matches the Rfam family "Bacterial small subunit ribosomal RNA", at positions 507 to 807 of the family's 1533-position model. The record is from RNAcentral.